This 333-nucleotide ribosomal RNA is filed under the name Prymnesium parvum. RNAcentral's name for it is "partial Bacterial large subunit ribosomal RNA". It matches the Rfam family "Bacterial large subunit ribosomal RNA", at positions 178 to 558 of the family's 2925-position model. Lineage: Eukaryota; Haptophyta; Prymnesiales; Prymnesiaceae. The record is from RNAcentral.
GGCGAACCCGGGGAACUGAAACAUCUCAGUACCCGGAGGAAAAGAAAUCAACCGAGAUUCCCGUAGUAGUGGCGAGCGAACCGGGACCAGGCCAGUGCCUUGUCGUAAAUUAGCAGAACAUUCUGGAAAGUUUGACCAUAGUGGGUGACAGUCCCGUAUGCGAAAAUGAUCGACAAGGACUUGAGUAGGGCGGGACACGUGAAAUCCUGUCUGAACAUGGGGGGACCACCCUCCAAGCCUAAAUACUCGUACAUGACCGAUAGCGAACACAGUACCGUGAGGGAAAGGUGAAAAGCACCCCGAUUAGGGGAGUGAAACAGUACCUGAAACCGG